RNAcentral lists this transfer RNA (63 nucleotides) under Platypodinae sp. BMNH 1274714. Its description in RNAcentral is "tRNA-Val". The record is from RNAcentral. Lineage: Eukaryota; Metazoa; Arthropoda; Insecta; Coleoptera; Curculionidae.
CAGGCUAAAGCUUAAAGCGUUUUAGUUACAUUAAAGAGUUUAUUGUAAAUCAAUAUAGUUUGA